CUGAACAACCUCAACUCUCUCAGCCUGUCUUCAUGAGAGAGCGGCUCCAGCCCCUUGAUCAUUCUCAUGGCUCUCCUCUGGACUUGUUCUAAUAUUUCCAUGUCCUUCUUGUGCUGGGGGACCCAGGGCUGAACACAGUAAACAGAUUUAAAAUAGAUGUUAGGAAG
Molecule: long non-coding RNA, 167 nt
Organism: Oxyura jamaicensis (ruddy duck)
Lineage: Eukaryota; Metazoa; Chordata; Aves; Anseriformes; Anatidae
Exons: 3
Source: RefSeq, a predicted model, not a curated record